RNAcentral lists this long non-coding RNA (228 nucleotides) under Brassica napus (rape). RNAcentral describes it as "long non-coding RNA (BNAP_LNC005852)". Lineage: Eukaryota; Viridiplantae; Streptophyta; Magnoliopsida; Brassicales; Brassicaceae. The record is from RNAcentral.
GAGACUCAUGGAGCUUUCGAUUUUAAAAUCUCCAUCCUCAAGUUUUUCAUUUCUCACCACUUGCCAGAAAUCAUCAUUUAUGAUGGCAUUUACGUGGUGUUUUCCUUUGUCGGCUCCUGCCUCUCUAGCGAAAGCUUCUUGCCUCUUUAUAGUCUCGCCCGUCUGAAUUACUUGGGUUUCAAGUUUUCUCACAUGAGUCCCUAAGGUCUCGAUUUUGGUGUUCAGAUU